GACGAACGCUGGCGGCGUGCUUAACACAUGCAAGUCGAGCGGUAAGGCCCUUUCGGGGGUACACGAGCGGCGAACGGGUGAGUAACACGUGGGUGACCUGCCCUUAGCUCUGGGAUAAGCCUGGGAAACUGGGUCUAAUACCGGAUAUGACUCCAUGACGCAUGUUGUGGGGUGGAAAGCCUUGUGCGGCUAGGGAUGGGCCCGCGGCCUAUCAGCUUGUUGGUGGGGUGAUGGCCUACCAAGGCGACGACGGGUAGCCGGCCUGAGAGGGCGACCGGCCACACUGGGACUGAGACACGGCCCAGACCU
This 309-nucleotide ribosomal RNA is filed under the name uncultured bacterium. RNAcentral describes it as "bacterial SSU rRNA". It matches the Rfam family "Bacterial small subunit ribosomal RNA", at positions 28 to 338 of the family's 1533-position model. The record is from RNAcentral.